This is a long non-coding RNA of Drosophila yakuba, 306 nucleotides long. RefSeq lists it as uncharacterized. The record is from RefSeq and is a predicted model, not a curated record. NCBI's taxonomy places the organism in Eukaryota, Metazoa, Arthropoda, Insecta, Diptera, Drosophilidae. The transcript has 2 exons.
UUAGAAUUUCUCUAAUAACACGGGAUCAUUAUGGUCGUAAAUACCCUGGCAAGCGCUUGUCAGAAUUUUCGGUUUCGUUUUCCGUCACCCCUUUUUGCAUUUUUAUUUAAUUGUAGAACAUGACAAGUGGUGUUUGGAACAUUUUCAACGUUAAAUAUAAAAAACCGAUAGCAUAAGCACAUUAGAAGGCCAGCCCAGCAGCCACCGGAGAAGGCCUUGCCCCACUGGCCGCACUUGCAUUUUAAAAAGAACGCAUACAAAAAUAGGAAAAUAUUAAUGGAAUAAAAAAUAAAAAUAAUAAUUGAA